RNAcentral lists this ribosomal RNA (498 nucleotides) under uncultured bacterium. RNAcentral describes it as "partial 16S ribosomal RNA". It matches the Rfam family "Bacterial small subunit ribosomal RNA", at positions 899 to 1397 of the family's 1533-position model. The record is from RNAcentral.
ACUCAAAUGAAUUGACGGGGGCCCGCACAAGCGGUGGAGCAUGUGGUUUAAUUCGAUGCAACGCGAAGAACCUUACCUACCCUUGAAUCCACAGAAUCUUUCAGAGAUGAGAGAGUGCCUUCGGGAACUGUGAGACAGGUGCUGCAUGGCUGUCGUCAGCUCGUGUCGUGAGAUGUUGGGUUAAGUCCCGUAACGAGCGCAACCCUUUUCCUUAGUUGCCAGCGAGUAAUGUCGGGGACUUUAAGGAUACUGCCGGUGAUAAACCGGAGGAAGGUGGGGAUGAGGUCAAGUCAUCAUGGCCCUUAUGGGUAGGGCUACACACGUGCUACAAUGGCCGGUACAGAGGGUUGCCAACCCGCGAGGGGGAGCUAAUCUCAGAAAGCCGGUCAUAGUCCGGAUUGGAGUCUGCAACUCGACUCCAUGAAGCAGGAAUCGCUAGUAAUCGCGGAUCAGAACGCCGCGGUGAAUACGUUCACGGGCCUUGUACACACCGCCCGU